UUCUGAGUCCAUUCAGAGACAUCCAACAAUUGGAACAAUAUAGAAAAGAUUAACAUGUCUCAUGCACAAGACGAAAUGCAUAUAAAUUGAGAAAUAUACUAUGAUU
Molecule: small nuclear RNA, 106 nt
Organism: Salvia hispanica
Lineage: Eukaryota; Viridiplantae; Streptophyta; Magnoliopsida; Lamiales; Lamiaceae
Source: RefSeq, a predicted model, not a curated record